AAAGAUUAAGCCAUGCAUGUCUCAGUAUGAACUAUCUAUUGUGAAACCGCGAAUGGCUCAUUACAACAGCCAUAGUUUACUGGAUAUAUUCCAUUACAUGGAUAACUGUGGUAAUUCUACAGCUAAUACGCGCAUCAAAACCCUGACUUCGGAAAGGGUGCGUUAGUUACUUCAAACUGACUAGACUUCGGUCUGGCUCCAAGUGAAAUUGAACUAUUUAGCUGAUCGCACGGUCUAAGCACCGGCGACAUAUCCUUCAAAUGUCUGCCUUAUCAACUGUCGAUGGUAGAUUAUGCGCCUACCAUGGUUGUAACGGGUAACGGAGAAUCAGGGUUUGAUUCCGGAGAGGGAGCCUGAGAAAUGGCUACCACAUCCAAGGAAGGCAGCAGGCACGCAAAUUACCCACUCCCGGCACGGGGAGGUAGUGACGAAAAAUAACAAGCUGGUCUCUUUGAGUUCCGGCAUUGUAAUGGGAACAACUUAAAUCAUUUAUCGAGGAUCUGUUGGAGGGCAAGUCUGGUGCCAGCAGCCGCGGUAAUUCCAGCUCCAAUAGCGUAUAUUAAAGUUGUUGCGGUUAAAAAGCUCGUAGUUGGAUCUACGAUCAAGGCUUGUGGUCGUCCUUCUCGGAUGUACUGCUUAGUCUGGUCGAAUUAUCUGGUGAACGAUUGAUGCUCUUCACUGAGUGUCUCUAGUUGCUGGAACGUUUACCUUGAAAAAAUUGAAGUGCUCAAAGCAGGCUUACGCCUGAACAUUGUUGCAUGGGAUAAUCGAAUAGGACUUCGGUUCUAUUUUGUUGGUUUCGGAACGCGAAGUAAUGAUUAAUAGGGACAGACGGGGGCAUUCGUAUUGCUGCGUUAGAGGUGAAAUUCUUGGAUCGUAGCAAGACGACCUACUGCGAAAGCAUUUGCCAAGAAUGUUUUCAUUAAUCAAGAACGAAAGUUAGAGGUUCGAAGGCGAUCAGAUACCGCCCUAGUUCUAACCGUAAACGAUGCCAACUAGAGAUCUAAUGGUGUUUUUCUUUGACCCAUUAGGGAUCUUUCCGGAAACGAAAGUUUUCCGGUUCCGGGGGAAGUAUGGUUGCAAAGCUGAAACUUAAAGGAAUUGACGGAAGGGCACCACCAGGAGUGGAGCCUGCGGCUUAAUUUGACUCAACGCGGGGAAACUCACUUGGUCAGGACACUGUAAGGAUUGACAGAUUGAAAGCUCUUUCUUGAUUCGGUGGAUGGUGGUGCAUGGCCGUUCUUAGUUGGUGGAGUGAUUUGUCUGGUUAAUUCCGAUAACGAGCGAGA
RNAcentral lists this ribosomal RNA (1289 nucleotides) under Nematoda environmental sample. RNAcentral describes it as "SSU rRNA". It matches the Rfam family "Eukaryotic small subunit ribosomal RNA", at positions 39 to 1340 of the family's 1831-position model. Lineage: Eukaryota; Metazoa; Nematoda. The record is from RNAcentral.